Molecule: ribosomal RNA, 253 nt
Filed under: uncultured bacterium
Lineage: Bacteria
Description: partial 16S ribosomal RNA
Rfam family: Bacterial small subunit ribosomal RNA
Source: RNAcentral
UACGGGGGGGGCAAGCGUUGUUCGGAAUUACUGGGCGUAAAGGGCUCGUAGGCGGCCAACUAAGUCGGACGUGAAAUCCCUCGGCUUAACCGGGGAACUGCGUCUGAUACUGGAUGGCUUGAAUCCGGGAGAGGGAUGCGGAAUUCCAGGUGUAGCGGUGAAAUGCGUAGAUAUCUGGAGGAACACCGGUGGCGAAGGCGGCACCCUGGACCGGCAUUGACGCUGAGGAGCGAAAGCCAGGGGAGCAAACGGG